AGGAUGAACGCUGGCGGCGUGCCUAAUACAUGCAAGUCGAGCGGAAAGGCCUCUUCGGAGGUACUCGAGCGGCGGACGGCUGAGUAACGCGUAGGAACGUACCCCAAACUGAGGGAUAAGCACCAGAAAUGGUGUCUAAUACCGCAUGUGCUCUAAGGAGUAAAGCUUCGGCGGUUUGGGAACGGCCUGCGUAUGAUUAGCUUGUUGGUGAGGUAAUAGCUCACCAAGGCGACGAUCAUUAGCUGGUCUGAGAGGAUGAUCAGCCAGACUGGGACUGAGAACGGCCCAGACUCCUACGGGAGGCAGCAGUAGGGAAUUUUCCACAAUGGGCGAAAGCCUGAUGGAGCAACGCCGCGUGCAGGAUGAAUGCCUUCGGGUUGUAAACUGCUUUUAUAUGUGACGAUUAUGACGGUAGCAUAUGAAUAAGGAUCGGCUAACUCCGUGCCAGCAGCCGCGGU
This 458-nucleotide ribosomal RNA is filed under the name uncultured bacterium. Its description in RNAcentral is "SSU rRNA". It matches the Rfam family "Bacterial small subunit ribosomal RNA", at positions 26 to 521 of the family's 1533-position model. The record is from RNAcentral.